This 496-nucleotide ribosomal RNA is filed under the name uncultured bacterium. RNAcentral's name for it is "partial 16S ribosomal RNA". It matches the Rfam family "Bacterial small subunit ribosomal RNA", at positions 28 to 507 of the family's 1533-position model. The record is from RNAcentral.
GAUGAACGCUGGCGGCGUGCUUAAUACAUGCAAGUCGAACGGACAGACCCGGAUCUUGCUCCUCUGUCGUUAGCCGCGACGGGUGAUUAACACGUGGAUAACUUACCUAUAAGACUGGAAUACCUUCGGGAAACCGGACCAAAUACCGUAUAAUAUAUUGAACCUCAUGGUUCAAUAGUGAAAUACGGUUUGUCUGUCACGUAUACGUGGAUCCCCGCCGCAUUAGCUAGUUGGUAAGGUAACGGCUUACCAAGGCGACGAUGCGUAGCCGACCUGAGAGGGUGAUGGGCGACACUGGAAGUGGGACACGGUCCAGACACCUACGGGAGGCAGCAGUAGGGAAUGGUAGGCAGUGGGGGAAAGCCUGACGGAGCGGCGCCGAGUGAGUGGUGGGGGUCUUCGGAUCGUAAUACUGUGUUACUAGGGAAGAACAGAUGUGUACGUAACUAUGGAGGUCUUGACGGUAAUGGAUAAGGAAGCAACGGCUAACUACGUG